Molecule: ribosomal RNA, 253 nt
Filed under: uncultured bacterium
Lineage: Bacteria
Description: partial 16S ribosomal RNA
Rfam family: Bacterial small subunit ribosomal RNA
Source: RNAcentral
GACGAAGGGGGCUAGCGUUGUUCGGAAUUACUGGGCGUAAAGCGCGUGUAGGCGGUUGUUCAAGUCAGGUGUGAAAGCCUUGAGCUCAACUCAAGAAAUGCACUUGAUACUGGAUGACUAGAGGGCCGGAGAGGAUAGUGGAAUUCCCAGUGUAGUGGUGAAAUACGUAGAGAUUGGGAAGAACACCAGUGGCGAAGGCGGCUAUCUGGACGGUUUCUGACGCUAAGACGCGAAAGCGUGGGGAGCAAACAGG